AUAAAUUUCAGUAUGACAUUCCAAGAUUCUGGAAGCUGUAUACACAAAAUUGGAGAAAGAAUGAAGGUGAGGGUGCUGCCACACACAGCACCAGGAGAAGAGGAGGAUUUUCUGUACAGCAUUAGCUCUCCAGCACAGAGCGUGGUCUGGCCACUACUUGGACAGAGCUGGUAGACUCCCUGCAACAGGAGGCUGAGAAACUCAGAGCUGAGCACCCCAAGGAAAGAGAGCUGAUCUGGGAGAGGACUGU
Schistocerca gregaria is the source of this 250-nucleotide long non-coding RNA. RefSeq lists it as uncharacterized. The transcript has 3 exons. Lineage: Eukaryota; Metazoa; Arthropoda; Insecta; Orthoptera; Acrididae. The record is from RefSeq and is a predicted model, not a curated record.